CCUACGGGAGGCAGCAGUAGGGAAUCUUUCACAAUGGGCGAAAGCCUGAUGGAGCAACGCCGCGUGCAGGAUGAAGGCCUUCGGGUUGUAAACUGCUUUUAUAAGCGAGAAAUAUGAUGGUAACUUAUGAAUAAGGAUCGGCUAACUACGUGCCAGCAGCCGCGGUCAUACGUAGGAUCCGAGCAUUAUCCGGAGUGACUGGGUGUAAAGAGUUGCGUAGGUGGCAUAAUAAGUAGCUAGUGAAAUCUGGUGGCUCAACCAUUCAGACUAUUAGCUAAACUGUUAAGCUCGAGACCGUUAGGGGUAACUGGAAUUUCUGGUGUAGGAGUGAAAUGCGUAGAUAUUAGACGGAACACCGAUAGCGUAGGCAGGUUGCUGGGACGGUUCUGACACUGAGGCACGAAAGCGUAGGGAGCGAACGGGAUUAGAUACCCCAGUAGUC
This 442-nucleotide ribosomal RNA is filed under the name uncultured bacterium. RNAcentral's name for it is "partial 16S ribosomal RNA". It matches the Rfam family "Bacterial small subunit ribosomal RNA", at positions 338 to 795 of the family's 1533-position model. The record is from RNAcentral.